GAACUGCCUCCAAAACUAUCAGUCUAGAGUUCGAGAGAGGUGAGUGGAAUUCCGAGUGUAGAGGUGAAAUUCGUAGAUAUUCGGAAGAACACCAGUGGCGAAGGCGGCUCACUGGCUCGAUACUGACGCUGAGGUGCGAAAGUGUGGGUAGCAAACAGGAUUAGAUACCCUGGUAGUCCACACCGUAAACGAUGAAUGCCAGUCGUCAGGGGGCUUGCCCCUUGGUGACACACCUAACGGAGUAAGCAUUCCGCCUGGGGAGUACGGCCGCAAGGUUAAAACUCAAAGGAAUUGACGGGGGCCCGCACAAGCGGUGGAGCAUGUGGUUUAAUUCGAUGCAACGCGAGGAACCUUACCAGGUCUUGACAUCCUGCGAACACGUUAGAGAUA
This 390-nucleotide ribosomal RNA is filed under the name uncultured bacterium. Its description in RNAcentral is "bacterial SSU rRNA". It matches the Rfam family "Bacterial small subunit ribosomal RNA", at positions 618 to 1008 of the family's 1533-position model. The record is from RNAcentral.